ACCAUCUCUUCUUCCGUUUUUCUUCUCUCGGCGAUGGAAAUAAGGACCACCAUCCCUCUUCUCUUUUUCUAUGCCUCACCAACGUCCAUCAUAGCCCGCCAUCACCUCUGCGCUGUUAAUCCUCCUCUCAUUCGCAUAUCUCGUCGCCACCAAGAUUCAUGAAAAUCCGAUUAGACGAUCCCCCAUCAUCCCCUUUGACGAGUUCGGUUUCACCGCCUCGAAGACGACCUCCAACCUAUCGGGAAUCUCCAAGGACGAAAAAAAUUGUCUUCGGCUGACAGAUCUGGAUCCAGCGAGUACCUAGAUGUUGAGGUAAUCUCAAUAAUCUGCAUUAGGAUUUUUUUUUUUUUUGUGGUUUGUUCGGUGCCUUCACUUGCAGAAUUUUUCCAGGUACGAUACUGGAUGUGGAACAAAUAGGUCUAGUCACUUUGUAUUCCUUUUAUUUUUUUAUCCUUUUUGUCUUGUUGUUUUGGUUUUAUUAGGUAUCCAGUUUAUGUAUAUAUAUUAGGGAAAGUAGAAUAUUUUGAAUUAAGUCUUGAAGGAAGAUUUUCUAAUUUUUGAGGAUCUUAUAAUGGGCAUUAUAAAUUCUUAAUUUGAUUGUAAUUCUUAUUUUGAAUUGAAUUUUCUCCUUGAAAAGGGGAUUUGUUGUAGUGAAUUAGGUUAAUUCUGUAGUGGAUUGCAUUACUAUUUUAGUAGAUUUUGAUAUAAUUGAAGUGGACUUUCUCUUUGAAAAGGGGAUUUGUUGUAGUGAAUUUCGUUUAAUUUCGUAGUAGAUUACGUUAAUACUUUUGUAAUUGUUUUGUAUUGGAUUAGGUUAAUUUCAUACUUGAUUAUGUUAAUAUUUUAGUGGAUUUCGAUAUUUUUUGUAGUGGGUUUUGAUGAGAUUGUAGUAGAUUUAAAAUUCUUGCUUUGUAGACCGAUUUUGUUUUGAAUGAAUUAAAUUUACACGUUGUUGUCUUCUUUUUCUUUGGUUCAGGUUCGUGCACAAGCGGAGUGAUGGCAACAAGUGGGGCGAGGUUGGGUGAUGCUCGGGUGACUCUACUAUUGCGAUGAAAUUCGUUUAUUAAAGAGGAAUUUUAGUGGAUUUAGGCAAGUUUUUAGUGUAUUUCGAUAAAAUUUCAGUGGUUUUCUCUUUGUAUAGGGGAUUUUUUGUACUGGAUUUCUAUAUUUUUGUAGUGGUUUUUGAUAAACUUGUAGUGC
Molecule: long non-coding RNA, 1200 nt
Filed under: Erythranthe guttata (spotted monkey flower)
Lineage: Eukaryota; Viridiplantae; Streptophyta; Magnoliopsida; Lamiales; Phrymaceae
Description: long non-coding RNA (EGUT_LNC001769)
Source: RNAcentral